RNAcentral lists this ribosomal RNA (253 nucleotides) under uncultured bacterium. RNAcentral describes it as "partial 16S ribosomal RNA". It matches the Rfam family "Bacterial small subunit ribosomal RNA", at positions 524 to 776 of the family's 1533-position model. The record is from RNAcentral.
UACGUAGGGGGCAAGCGUUAUUCGGAAUUAUUGGGCGUAAAGGGCGCGUAGGCGGCCUGGCAAGUGGAAGGUGAAAUCCCUCGGCUUAACCGAGGAACUGCCCUCCAAACUGCUUGGCUUGAGACCGGGAGAGGUGAGUGGAAUUCCCAGUGUAGCGGUGAAAUGCGUAGAUAUUGGGAGGAACACCAGUGGCGAAGGCGGCUCACUGGACCGGUACUGACGCUGAGGCGCGAAAGCGUGGGGAGCAAACGGG